GACGAACGCUGGCGGCGUGCCUAAUACAUGCAAGUCGAACGCACAGUUUAUACCGUAGCUUGCUACACCAUAGACUGUGAGUUGCGAACGGGUGAGUAACGCGUAGGUAACCUGCCUGGUAGCGGGGGAUAACUAUUGGAAACGAUAGCUAAUACCGCAUAAUAUUAAUUAUUGCAUGAUAAUUAAUUGAAAGGUGCAAUUGCACCACUACCAGAUGGACCUGCGUUGUAUUAGCUAGUAGGUGAGGUAACGGCUCACCUAGGCGACGAUACAUAGCCGACCUGAGAGGGUGAUCGGCCACACUGGGACUGAGACACGGCCCAGACUCCUACGGGAGGCAGCAGUAGGGAAUCUUCGGCAAGGGACGAAAGUCUGACCGAGCAACGCCGCGUGAGUGAAGAAGGGUGUCGGAUCGUAAAGCUCGGUUGUAAGAGAAGAACGGGUGUGAGAGUGGAAAGUUCACACUGUGACGGUACCUUACCAGAAAGGGACGGCUAACUACGUG
RNAcentral lists this ribosomal RNA (505 nucleotides) under uncultured bacterium. RNAcentral describes it as "partial 16S ribosomal RNA". It matches the Rfam family "Bacterial small subunit ribosomal RNA", at positions 28 to 507 of the family's 1533-position model. The record is from RNAcentral.